CAGUCCGCGGUAAUACAGAGGGUGCGAGCGUUAAUCGGAAUUACUGAGCGUAAAGCGCGCGUAGGUGGUUUGUUAAGUUGGAUGUGAAAUCCCCGGGCUCAACCUGGGAACUGCAUCCAAAACUGGCAAGCUAGAGUAUGGUAGAGGGUGGUGGAAUUUCCUGUGUAGCGGUGAAAUGCGUAGAUAUAGGAAGGAACACCAGUGGCGAAGGCGACCACCUGGACUGAUACUGACACUGAGGUGCGAAAGCGUGGGGAGCAAACAGGAUUAGAGACCCCCGUAGUCCCUGUCUCUUAUACAC
This 301-nucleotide ribosomal RNA is filed under the name uncultured bacterium. RNAcentral's name for it is "partial 16S ribosomal RNA". It matches the Rfam family "Bacterial small subunit ribosomal RNA", at positions 512 to 809 of the family's 1533-position model. The record is from RNAcentral.